CCCCCUUUCUCUCUCUAUUCGGCUGGUAGCCGGAAUUCGCCCCACCUAACACCGCCAAUGACGCCGCCGCCCGCCGCCUCCACCGUCCGCCGCCGGUGGUGGUCCAAAUGCCACCAAACUAACCACAUCUUCCUUUUUUCAUUCUCUAUCCGAAUCCAUAAGCCAAAACUCUUAAUUCCCCGCCAAUCUCUGCGAAUUAAUCGAAAAUCAGUAAAAAGCCUAUCUUUUUCACUCCUUUUCAAAUUCGUAGAGUUUUGAGCACCUCCUCAUCGCAAAUCUUGCAUAUGCUGAUAGGUAUCGUAAAGAUCUGUCGAUCUUUAUUGGUUUCGAGCCCGAACUCCGAUGGACGGAUUCCGGCAAGUCGCCGGCGAGCGUCCCUUUUCCACUAGUAUUCUCGACCAGAUUAUGCUGGACCCUCAAAGUUUUGCUCAGAACGACUCGAACAGACUUUCUUGUCAGCGUGAUACUAAGGAUUGACGAAUUGUCAAUUUUUAGCAUACGUCGAUAAGAGGGUCUGUUCGUUGCCGGAUAUGUGCUAUCUCCAUCAUAGUUUCAAGGUUUGCAUUGAGUUCCGAAGUGCCGGACGGUGGUGGAAUUCAGUUCCCUUUUCCCCUCGUUUCAUUUCUGUCCUCAGGUUUAGAAUUUACUGAUUUUCUUUAUCUAUUAUUUCUGAUUUCUGAUAUGGGAUAGUACUUUGUUUGGAUGAAAGGGCAUCUGUCAGCUCGGGCCAAAGCAAACUUGGGCCAAACACUUUUGGUCCAUGUGCACAUUUAGGCCCAGGCCCAAGGAUGCUUUUAUACCUAUCUGUCCAGUCAGCUUGUAAGCUGGAAAAAAUAAUAGUAGAAGGAAAGGAUACUUGGGGGUAAAUGGGGAAUUUCAUGAAUUUGUUUUUAAAAGCGGAGGGGUACAACAUUUUCUUUAUGGAGCUGAAUUCUUAGAGGAGGUUAAAAUGAAUAUUUGAGCUAGCUGGAACAGAUUACAUUGAAUUCUGGAAUAUAUUGUAAUUCAGUUUAUAAUUUAAAUUUUAAUAAGAAUACACACAUUAAAAGUUUCCUUACAAUUUGUGAUUUUAUACUAUAAAUGUAUGUUAUUAAGAAUAAAAUGAAAAGUUUAUAGUUAAAGAUAUUUUCAAUAUAUAUCUCAUUCUUUUUUGAAGGAACAAAAAAAAAUCAUAUAAAAUGAAACGUAAUGUGGUUAGUUAUUUAUGUUAUAUACCUACAUAAUUUUCAAAUUAUAAUAUAAAAAUGAGUGUAAUUUCACAUAUUAUAGUAUAAUAUUUAUUUUAUUUUUUAGUUUACAGGAUCAUACUUGUAAGUAGAACAACUUAAUUUGGUAGUUAGAAAGAUUGAACGACAUUUUUUAUUUAGUUUAAAAUUUUAAAUUAUGCAUUGUAUACUAAUUUAUAAUAUAUCAAAUUAAAUAUUAUAUGCAAUUUUUAAUAUAUCAAACUAAAUAUUAAAUAAUUCUUGCAUACCAAUUCAUGCAUUAUUCAUUGCUAAUCGAUUACUAUUUCAUUCGGUUUAUUUUUCUUUUUCUACGUUUGCUAAAAGAGUACAGUUUUGUGGAAUAAAAUUGCAAAAAUAGCUACAAGGACAAGGGCAAAAGAUUGUGGUCCAAUUAGCAAGCAAAUAACACCUAAAUUAGCAGGCGGGUUGGGUGCUACUCCAUAGAGAAGACUAUCGAAGCAGAAAAGCUUCAGUUCCGUACAUUCUUCCUGGUAAAAGUUUUAAUUUCUUGUUUAAUUUCCUCUCCUAAAAUUCUGGCUUUUGCUUUUUGUAACUUCACUAGAUUGUAUGACUCUUUGAUUUGUCAUUUGAAUUUUUAGAGUUAAAUGCAGAAUAAAAUAAAGUUUUUAGGUUUUAAUUCUUUUAAAUUUUUCAGAUUGCUACUACGUUAACUUUUGAAUAUCCAUGAGGUUUGAAAUGAACAAAUAGAAAUUUCUUCUUGUUUUAAGAGUACUAAAAUAUAAUUUGUUUUUGUUGGAAGGUUCAUCAUUUUGGGGAAAUUUUAAUUUUAACCUUCCAGUAACUUUUGCAUAGAUUGUAUUUGUGUUAGGAAACCCAUUAAAUGUAUAUAAAUAUGUAAUUGCGUACUCACAGUAACUAAAACGAGCUAUGGGUUUGAUGAUAAGUUUAGUACCCAUAAAUUUCAAAUACUGGCUUCGCCUACCUGUGAAAGCUAUCUUUCUAGCUAUGUUGUGCGGACUCUCCAAAAUGCGUUUGCUUCCGUGUCCGAUCCUUCAAAAAUGCACUACUUUUGAAAGAUCCGACAAGCACUCAGUAAUAUUUUCGGAGAGUCCGAGCAACAUAGCUUUCAGCGUAUUGUCUCUUCAUCAUAAAUCAAGCCAAAAGAGUACUCCACUCCCCUUUUUGAUAAAGAAUUCAAAAUUCAAUUUUAAGUUUCAUGGUCCCUGCCCACAAACUUGUACUGUAUGCCGAAGAUAUCUCCUUUGUUAACCAACCAAAUUUUUGCUGCUGUGUUUUGGAGAAUGAAGGAAACAGGAAAAAGGUAUUCUCAAAUGAGCAACACUGAUAAAACUGAUCCAUGCAACCCAUAACAUCCUCCGGAACAAUUCUUUACUGUGUUCUCCACCUCUUUCUCAUCAAAAGGCCUUUCCAUUGUAUUCCUUCUCUGAGCAUAAUUAACAUUUGAGGUCUAUUAUCUGUAAACAAUAAGAUUGCCAUGCCAUUCUCAACCAAUAGCUUAGGUCAAUUGCACUUUGUUGUUCAUGUGCCGUUCUUUGGGAAAAUAUGCUGAUUACUGACAAUUGCUUCACUUGCUUAAGUGGAUACAGAAUUUGUUGAGCUCUUCUUCUCUGUUAUGUUUUCUUUGUAUUGUCUUUCAAGUAUUGCAUUUCGAAAGGUCUUUCUUUUGGCUUCAACCAUUAAUCAGGUGAAGUUUUGUGAUUAUCAUGAAAGUUCGGUUUCAUGUCACCCACCAAUUUGGAGACCCUCAGGUGCUUUCUAGAUCUUGCCCACAUGCCGUUGAAGUGCUAUUAGCAGAUCUGCAGCAGUGGAACCAAAAUUGAGGGUUUUCAAUCAUGAUAGAAUGAUCUAACUUGGUUGAAAGAGGUUCCCGUUGGAUGAAAAACACUUCCAUAGUACAAAUUUCUUGUUGAACCCAUCAGUAGCAAGCACGUUGUAUAAGAUGUAUGAAGCAACUAAUUAUAUUAGUCGGGCUGGAUGAUGAACAGGUCUAACGUUUUCUUGUACUAUUUAAUACUUAGCUUAAAGGCUAAUGGGCUGUAUAACCUGUAAUCAGGUUAAGGCAGUGGGUUCUCAAAGCAUACAGUAUAAGAGAUGUAAAGAACCAAAAAUUUUAUCUGUCUGAUUGUCUGAUCUUUAACAUUUUUUCAUCACAUUCAAUCAAUCUAAAUCUUAUCUUACACCAUUGAUGAAAUAUCUGUUUUCAUAGUACACGUCACUAGAUUAAGGUUCAAUGCGUGAAUAUUGAUGUGAAACUGAUGAAAGAAUUUUAAUCAGCACUCUAAAGGCAGUGUUUUGAUUUUGUAGGAUAAAUCACAAAAUAUAACAUGUAGACGUUAUCUACUAAUCUUUUCUUUGUCAAAGCAGAGGUUCAUCUAUAUCUUUUAUUAUGUACCCAUAGUUGUAGGUGAAAAGAGUACAACCCAAGGAUUUUUCUAUCUUAUCUUCUGAUAUCAGUGCUAGAUAUGGCAUUUGGAAAUCGUUCUUCCAAGCUGUAAAGCUUGAAUUCGAUAAAUUGAUAAAGAUUCCGAAUAUGAUACUAAAUUGAUUACAAUCCAAUGGUUGCUAUCUUGGGUGUCUCUUAACCUGUGUGAAUAUUGUUUGAGCGUCCUUGAACUAUUAUGUAUAGCAGCACGAUGCGUUGCAGGUAUGCCUGAAUGUAAUUCUAUUAUUCAUGCCAUCCUUGAUGUCUCUUGACCUGUGUGAAUAUUGUUGGAGCGACCUUUGAACUGUUUUGUAUAGACAUGAAUUCUUUAGUUCUAUCAAAAAAAGUUCUAAAUUCUGUUUAGGUAGAGUGUUUGCAUAAUGUGGUCAUUACUUUUUUUUAUCAUAGUUUUUCUCAUACUUUUGUAUGCUCAUUUAUACAAAUAUGAGUUUUGUUGAGGAAGGUAAAAUUUCAGAUUUUUGUUUAUAUGAAACCACUUUGAGGUCUGCUUCUCACUUUGAGGUCUGUAUAUGGUUUUUGGGUGUUCUAAGUUGUGAACUUUGAGCAUAAAAAGAAGUUCUAUCCUUUACUGUUUUCCAUUUAGUUUUCCCACUAAGUGUCAAUGGUGAAUUACGCAACUCGACCAAACACUAAGUGUGAGUGAGUGAGACGGAUUGCGAAUUAUCUUAAGACCCGUCUCAAAUAAAGGUGAGAGUAAAAUAGUCUAAUACGCAACCAGGACAAGACAAAAAAAUAGCAAACUAUAUAACCAUUCCUCAUUCCAUUUUUGCAGGUCUUGGCAAGCAAGUCUGAAGAAAGUGUUAGAGAGAACAACA
RNAcentral lists this long non-coding RNA (4466 nucleotides) under Nicotiana tabacum (common tobacco). RNAcentral's name for it is "long non-coding RNA (NTAB_LNC015563)". The record is from RNAcentral. Lineage: Eukaryota; Viridiplantae; Streptophyta; Magnoliopsida; Solanales; Solanaceae.